CAACAUGAGAGUUUGAUCCUGGCUCAGGAUGAACGCUGGCGGCGUGCUUAACACAUGCAAGUCGAACGAAGCAGUCUUGAUGAAGCCUUCGGGUGGAAUUGAGAUUGACUGAGUGGCGGACGGGUGAGUAAC
Molecule: ribosomal RNA, 132 nt
Filed under: Candidatus Scybalocola faecavium
Lineage: Bacteria; Bacillati; Bacillota; Clostridia; Lachnospirales; Lachnospiraceae
Description: partial 16S ribosomal RNA
Rfam family: Bacterial small subunit ribosomal RNA
Source: RNAcentral